This 52-nucleotide non-coding RNA is filed under the name Vibrio sp. RC586. Its description in RNAcentral is "L31-Gammaproteobacteria ribosomal protein leader". It matches the Rfam family "L31-Gammaproteobacteria ribosomal protein leader". Lineage: Bacteria; Pseudomonadati; Pseudomonadota; Gammaproteobacteria; Vibrionales; Vibrionaceae. The record is from RNAcentral.
CGUGUGGUGUCCGACGAAUCGAUUCGGAUGGCGACACGGCCUAAAUUGAGGU